This 481-nucleotide ribosomal RNA is filed under the name uncultured bacterium. Its description in RNAcentral is "partial 16S ribosomal RNA". It matches the Rfam family "Bacterial small subunit ribosomal RNA", at positions 28 to 507 of the family's 1533-position model. The record is from RNAcentral.
GAUGAACGCUGGCGGCGUGCCUAACACAUGCAAGUCGAACGGAGAUUACGGACGGAAGUUUUCGGAUGGAAGACUGUAAUUCUUAGUGGCGGACGGGUGAGUAACGCGUGGGCAACCUGCCCUAUACAGGGGGAUAGCAGCUGGAAACGGCUGGUAAGACCGCAUAAGUCGGCGAGACCGCAUGGUUUUGCCGGGAAAUGAGCAAUCAGGUAUAGGAUGGGCCCGCGUCCGAUUAGCCAGUUGGCAGGGUAAAAGCCUACCAAAGCAACGAUCGGUAGCCGGACUGAGAGGUCGGACGGCCACAUUGGGACUGAGACACGGCCCAAACUCCUACGGGAGGCAGCAGUGGGUGAUAUUGCACAAUGGAGGAAACUCUGAUGCAGCGACGCCGCGUGAGUGAAGAAGUAUUUCGGUAUGUAAAGCUCUAUCAGCAGGGAAGAUGAUGACGGUACCUGACUAAGAAGCCCCGGCUAACUACGUG